RNAcentral lists this ribosomal RNA (115 nucleotides) under Escherichia coli. RNAcentral also lists the same sequence under 9 other names. Lineage: Bacteria; Pseudomonadati; Pseudomonadota; Gammaproteobacteria; Enterobacterales; Enterobacteriaceae. The record is from RNAcentral.
CCUGGUGGUUAUGGCGGAGCUGCUGCACCCGAUCCCAUUCCGAACUCGGCCGUGAAAAGCUCCAGCGCCAAUGGUACUUUGUCUUAAGGCACGGGAGAGUAGGUCGCUGCCAGGU